CAGCAGCCGCGGUAAUACAGAGGUCCCGAGCGUUGUUCGGAUUCACUGGGCGUAAAGGGUGUGUAGGAUGUUGGAUAAGUCAGGUGUGAAAUCCCGCAGCUCAACUGCGGAACUGCAUUCGAUACUGUUCAACUAGAGGAUCGGAGGGGGAAGCGGAAUUCUUGGUGUAGCGGUGAAAUGCGUAGAUAUCAAGAGGAACACCGGUGGCGAAGGCGGCUUCCUGGAAGAUACCUGACUCUGAAACACGAAAGCCAGGGGAGCGAAUGGGAUUAGAUACCCGUGUAGUCCCUGUCUCUUAUAC
Molecule: ribosomal RNA, 301 nt
Filed under: uncultured bacterium
Lineage: Bacteria
Description: partial 16S ribosomal RNA
Rfam family: Bacterial small subunit ribosomal RNA
Source: RNAcentral